RNAcentral lists this non-coding RNA (256 nucleotides) under Clostridium collagenovorans. RNAcentral describes it as "T-box sequence". It matches the Rfam family "T-box leader". From Rfam's summary of the family: Uncharged tRNA acts as the effector for transcription antitermination of genes in the T-box leader family. T-boxes are found upstream of many aminoacyl-tRNA synthetase genes and some amino acid biosynthetic genes usually in Gram-positive bacteria. Lineage: Bacteria; Bacillati; Bacillota; Clostridia; Eubacteriales; Clostridiaceae. The record is from RNAcentral.
UAAAAAGCUAUGAAGAGAAGAGUAAUAAGGGAGAUUAUCUAAAGAGAGCCAGGGUAGGUGAAAGCUGGUGAUAAAAGAUCUUAUGAACAUGGACUCUGAGCAAAACAUCUGAAUUUAUAUUGAAAGUGAUAUAUUUAAGAUGUUUCGGUUUCAACCGUUAUAUUGAAGGGUACGAUAGAAAUAUAUACCUAUUGAGAUCCUUAUUGAGAAAUAAGGAUGAAUUAGAGUGGUAACGCGUAAAUAAUAUGCCUCUAAG